RNAcentral lists this small RNA (126 nucleotides) under Marmota monax (woodchuck). The record is from RNAcentral. Lineage: Eukaryota; Metazoa; Chordata; Mammalia; Rodentia; Sciuridae.
GCUGGGCCUGGUGGCGCCCGCCUGUGAUCCCAGUUAUUUGGGAGGCUGAGGCAGGAGGAUCGCAAGUUCAAGGCCAGCCUCAGCUAUUUAGCGAGGCCCCAGCAACUUAGCAAGACCCUGUCUCAA